Molecule: long non-coding RNA, 160 nt
Organism: Anarrhichthys ocellatus (wolf-eel)
Lineage: Eukaryota; Metazoa; Chordata; Actinopteri; Perciformes; Anarhichadidae
Exons: 3
Source: RefSeq, a predicted model, not a curated record
UAGUUGAAGAGCAGAAAGAGGCCCCGCCCCCUGCUUCAGCCCCGCCCCUUCCCACGACCACGCCGCCUGUCACUGAAAAGAAAGUAAAAUUUCAAGAUGAGUGCAAAAACGAGGCUCCUAAAGCGGCCAAACUCAAUCAGCAGGCAGCAGAGGAGAACAG